UCUCCGUAGGUGAACCUGCGGAGGGAUCAUUACAGAGUUCAUGCCCUACCGGGUAGAUCUCCCACCCUAUGUUAUUAUUACUUUGUUGCUUUGGCGGGCCGUUAGGCUCCGGCCCGACUACCGGCCCCGGCUGGUAAGCGCCCGCCAGGGGACCCAAAACCCUGAAUAUUAGUGUCGUCUGAGUACUAUAUAAUAGUUAAAACUUUCAACAACGGAUCUCUUGGCUCUG
This 229-nucleotide unclassified non-coding RNA is filed under the name plant metagenome. RNAcentral describes it as "partial contains small subunit ribosomal RNA, internal transcribed spacer 1, and 5.8S ribosomal RNA". The record is from RNAcentral.